CCUUACCUACCCUUGACAUGGUCGGAAUCCUGAAGAGAUUCGGGAGUGCUCGAAAGAGAACCGGCGCACAGGUGCUGCAUGGCUGUCGUCAGCUCGUGUCGUGAGAUGUUGGGUUAAGUCCCGCAACGAGCGCAACCCUUGUCCUUAGUUGCUACGCAAGAGCACUCUAAGGAGACUGCCGGUGACAAACCGGAGGAAGGUGGGGAUGACGUCAAGUCCUCAUGGCCCUUAUGGGUAGGGCUUCACACGUCAUACAAUGGUCGGAACAGAGGGUUGCCAACCCGCGAGGGGGAGCUAAUCCCAGAAAACCGAUCGUAGUCCGGAUUGCACUCUGCAACUCGAGUGCAUGAAGCUGGAAUCGCUAGUAAUCGCGGAUCAG
This 379-nucleotide ribosomal RNA is filed under the name Burkholderia sp. CAS16. RNAcentral's name for it is "bacterial SSU rRNA". It matches the Rfam family "Bacterial small subunit ribosomal RNA", at positions 969 to 1352 of the family's 1533-position model. The record is from RNAcentral. Lineage: Bacteria; Pseudomonadati; Pseudomonadota; Betaproteobacteria; Burkholderiales; Burkholderiaceae. RNAcentral also lists the same sequence under 1 other name.